CGGAGGGUGCAAGCGUUGUCCGGAUUUAUUGGGUUUAAAGGGCGCGUAGGCGGCCCCUUAAGUCAGUGGUGAAAGCCCGCGGCUCAACCGCGGAACUGCCAUUGAUACUGGGGGGCUUGAGUACAGACGAGGUAGGCGGAAUUGAAGAUGUAGCGGUGAAAUGCUUAGAUAUCUUCAAGAACACCGAUUGCGUAGGCAGCUUACUAGGCUGUAACUGACGCUGAGGCACGAAAGCGUGGGGAGCGAACAGGAUUAGAUACCCUGGUAGUCCACGCCGUAAACGAUGAUUACUCGAUGUCGGCGAUAGACCGUCGGCGUCUUAGCGAAAGCGUUAAGUAAUCCACCUGGGGAGUACGCCCGCAAGGGUG
This 368-nucleotide ribosomal RNA is filed under the name uncultured organism. Its description in RNAcentral is "bacterial SSU rRNA". It matches the Rfam family "Bacterial small subunit ribosomal RNA", at positions 526 to 896 of the family's 1533-position model. The record is from RNAcentral.